This 1070-nucleotide ribosomal RNA is filed under the name Frondihabitans sp. 684G53. RNAcentral describes it as "bacterial SSU rRNA". It matches the Rfam family "Bacterial small subunit ribosomal RNA", at positions 56 to 1140 of the family's 1533-position model. The record is from RNAcentral. Lineage: Bacteria; Bacillati; Actinomycetota; Actinomycetes; Micrococcales; Microbacteriaceae.
UGCAGUCGAACGAUGAACUGGAGCUUGCUCCAGGGAUUAGUGGCGAACGGGUGAGUAACACGUGAGUAACCUGCCCUUGACUCUGGGAUAAGCGUUGGAAACGACGUCUAAUACCGGAUAUGAACUGUGACGGCAUCGUCUGCAGUUGGAAAGAAUUUUGGUCAAGGAUGGACUCGCGGCCUAUCAGGUAGUUGGUGAGGUAAUGGCUCACCAAGCCGACGACGGGUAGCCGGCCUGAGAGGGUGACCGGCCACACUGGGACUGAGACACGGCCCAGACUCCUACGGGAGGCAGCAGUGGGGAAUAUUGCACAAUGGGCGAAAGCCUGAUGCAGCAACGCCGCGUGAGGGACGACGGCCUUCGGGUUGUAAACCUCUUUUAGUAGGGAAGAAGCGAAAGUGACGGUACCUGCAGAAAAAGCACCGGCUAACUACGUGCCAGCAGCCGCGGUAAUACGUAGGGUGCAAGCGUUGUCCGGAAUUAUUGGGCGUAAAGAGCUCGUAGGCGGUUUGUCGCGUCUGCUGUGAAAUCUGGGGGCUCAACCCCCAGCCUGCAGUGGGUACGGGCAGACUAGAGUGCGGUAGGGGAGAUUGGAAUUCCUGGUGUAGCGGUGGAAUGCGCAGAUAUCAGGAGGAACACCGAUGGCGAAGGCAGAUCUCUGGGCCGUAACUGACGCUGAGGAGCGAAAGCAUGGGGAGCGAACAGGAUUAGAUACCCUGGUAGUCCAUGCCGUAAACGUUGGGAACUAGAUGUAGGGGCCAUUCCACGGUUUCUGUGUCGCAGCUAACGCAUUAAGUUCCCCGCCUGGGGAGUACGGCCGCAAGGCUAAAACUCAAAGGAAUUGACGGGGGCCCGCACAAGCGGCGGAGCAUGCGGAUUAAUUCGAUGCAACGCGAAGAACCUUACCAAGGCUUGACAUAUACCGGAAACGUCCAGAGAUGGUCGCCCCGCAAGGUCGGUAUACAGGUGGUGCAUGGUUGUCGUCAGCUCGUGUCGUGAGAUGUUGGGGUUAAGUCCCGCAACGAGCGCAACCCUCGUUCUAUGUUGCCAGCACGUUAUGGUGGGAACUC